Lentinula detonsa is the source of this 86-nucleotide non-coding RNA. The record is from the annotation of a GenBank genome assembly. NCBI's taxonomy places the organism in Eukaryota, Fungi, Basidiomycota, Agaricomycetes, Agaricales, Omphalotaceae.
UCCGAUAUGGUGUAGUGGCUAACAUUAUCGCCUCUCAACAACAAACGAUGACGCGAUAGCCCGGGGUUCGAUUCCCCGUGUCGGAA